GGCCUCUCUUUGCUUUGGGGUAUCCUCUAUGUGCUUCGAUCCGAGCAAUUGAGAGUAAUUCAAAUUGGGAGACUAAGAAGUUGGUUACAUAUUGGAUUUCCUUCUCUUUGGUUUCACUCUUUGAGCAUUCUUUCGUGAACCUCCUUGAAUGGAUACAGUUCUGGCCUCAUAUUAAGUUAAUGAUCAUCUGCUUGCUGGUUAUAUCUUACUUUGAUGGCUCCUUUUAUGUCUAUAAUCACCUUGUUCGUCC
Molecule: long non-coding RNA, 250 nt
Organism: Alnus glutinosa
Lineage: Eukaryota; Viridiplantae; Streptophyta; Magnoliopsida; Fagales; Betulaceae
Exons: 3
Source: RefSeq, a predicted model, not a curated record